GACGAACGCUGGCGGCGUGCCUAAUACAUGCAAGUAGAACGCUGAAGGAGGAGCUUGCUUCUCUGGAUGAGUUGCGAACGGGUGAGUAACGCGUAGGUAACCUGCCUGGUAGCGGGGGAUAACUAUUGGAAACGAUAGCUAAUACCGCAUAAUAGCAGUUGUUGCAUGACAACUGUUUGAAAGGUGCAAUUGCACCACUACCAGAUGGACCUGCGUUGUAUUAGCUAGUUGGUGGGGUAACGGCUCACCAAGGCGACGAUACAUAGCCGACCUGAGAGGGUGAUCGGCCACACUGGGACUGGGACACGGCCCAGAAUCCUACGGGAGGCAGCAGUAGGGGAUCUUCGGCAAUGGACGGAAGUCUGACCGAGCAACGCCGCGUGAGUGAAGAAGGUUUUCGGAUCGUAAAGCUCUGUUGUAAGAGAAGAACGAGUGUGAGAGUGGAAAGUUCACACUGUGACGGUAUCUGACCAGAAAGGGACGGCUAACUACGUG
This 495-nucleotide ribosomal RNA is filed under the name uncultured bacterium. RNAcentral's name for it is "partial 16S ribosomal RNA". It matches the Rfam family "Bacterial small subunit ribosomal RNA", at positions 28 to 507 of the family's 1533-position model. The record is from RNAcentral.